Molecule: ribosomal RNA, 274 nt
Filed under: uncultured bacterium
Lineage: Bacteria
Description: partial 16S ribosomal RNA
Rfam family: Bacterial small subunit ribosomal RNA
Source: RNAcentral
ACACGUAGGAGGCAAGCGUUAUCCGGAUUUACUGGGCGUAAAGCGCGUGCAGGCGGUCUGGUAAGUUGGAUGUGAAAGCUCCCGGCUCAACUGGGAGAGGUCGUUCAAAACUGCCGGACUAGAGGACGGUAGAGGGAGGUGGAAUUCCCGGUGUAGUGGUGAAAUGCGUAGAUAUCGGGAGGAACACCAGUGGCGAAGGCGGCCUCCUGGGCCGUUCCUGACGCUAAGACGCGAAAGCGUGGGGAGCGAACGGGAUUAGAAACCCCUGUAGUCC